UAUGGAGGGUGCAAGCGUUAAUCGGAAUCACUGGGCGUAAAGCGCUCGUAGGUGGCUUUGUAAGUCAGGUGUGAAAGCCCACGGCUCAACCGUGGAAUUGCACUUGAUACUGCAUUGCUUGAGUUCGGGAGAGGGUAGUGGAAUUCCAGGUGUAGGAGUGAAAUCCGUAGAGAUCUGGAGGAACACCAGUGGCGAAGGCGACUACCUGGACCGAUACUGACACUGAGGAGCGAAAGCGUGGGGAGCAAAACAGG
RNAcentral lists this ribosomal RNA (254 nucleotides) under uncultured bacterium. RNAcentral describes it as "partial 16S ribosomal RNA". It matches the Rfam family "Bacterial small subunit ribosomal RNA", at positions 524 to 776 of the family's 1533-position model. The record is from RNAcentral.